This 440-nucleotide ribosomal RNA is filed under the name uncultured bacterium. RNAcentral describes it as "bacterial SSU rRNA". It matches the Rfam family "Bacterial small subunit ribosomal RNA", at positions 62 to 507 of the family's 1533-position model. The record is from RNAcentral.
UCGAGCGGAGUACUUCGGUACUUACCGGCGAACGGGUGAGUAAUGCCUAGGAAUCUACCCAGUAGUGGGGGAUAACCUGGGGAAACCCAGGCUAAUACCGCAUACGCCCUGAGGGGGAAAGCGGGGGAUCUUCGGACCUCGCGCUAUUGGAUGAGCCUGCGUCGGAUUAGCUAGUUGGGGGGGUAAGGGCCCACCAAGGCGACAAUCCGUAGCUGGUCUGAAAGGAUGACCAGUCACACCGGAACUGAAACACGGUCCGGACUCCUACGGGAGGCAGCAGUGGGGAAUAUUGGACAAUGGGCGCAAGCCUGAUCCACCCAUGCCGCGGGGGUGAAAAAGGCCUUCGGGUUGUAAAGCCCUUUAGGUGGGGAGGAAGGCAUUCAUGCUAAUACCAUGGAUGAUUGACGUUACCCACAGAAUAAGCACCGGCUAACUCCGUG